GGAGGGUGCAAGCGUUAUCCGGAUUCACUGGGUUUAAAGGGUGCGUAGGCGGGCAGGUAAGUCCGUGGUGAAAUCUCUGAGCUUAACUCAGAAACUGCCAUGGAUACUAUUUGUCUUGAAUAUUGUGGAGGUGAGCGGAAUAUGUCAUGUAGCGGUGAAAUGCUUAGAUAUGACAUAGAACACCAAUUGCGAAGGCAGCUCACUACUCAAUCAUUGACGCUGAGGCACGAAAGCGUGGGGAUCAAACAGGAUUAGAUACCCUGGUAGUCCACGCCCUAAACGAUGAUUACUCGACAUCGGCGAUACACUGUCGGUGUCUGAGCGAAAGCAUUAAGUAAUCCACCUGGGAAGUACGAUCGCAAGAUUG
RNAcentral lists this ribosomal RNA (367 nucleotides) under uncultured organism. RNAcentral's name for it is "bacterial SSU rRNA". It matches the Rfam family "Bacterial small subunit ribosomal RNA", at positions 527 to 896 of the family's 1533-position model. The record is from RNAcentral.